CGAAAUAGCUUACCUCCAAAAAUUCCUUCCAAACAAAGUGCCCUCUCCUCUCCACUAUUCCCACCGUCUCCAGAAAGGAUAAUGAUGGAUGGUGAUUCAACUGUUCCUGAUCAAAAUGUAGAAACCUCUUUGGUGAAAUCUAUGGGUCGGGUCACCAAUGUAUAUAUUUGGGACAUGGAUGAGACCCUUAUACUGCUGAAGUCUUUAUUGUAUGGGACUUAUGCGGAGGCUUUCAAUGGCUUAAAGGAUGUGCCUAAGGGGGUAGAAAUUGGGAAGCUGUGGGAGAAACACAUUCUUCGACUAUGUGAUGAAUUAUUCUUUUAUGAGCAAAUUGAAAACUAUAAUAUGCCAUUUCUUGAUGCCUUGAGCCGAUAUGAUGAUGGGCGAGAUCUUUCUGACUAUGAUUUCAACCAAGAUGGAUUUAGUUCUCCUUAUGAUGAUGCCAACAAAAGAAAACUAGCAUACAGACACCGAGUCAUAGCCAAUAAGUACAAACAGGGUUUGCCUGAUGUUUUUGAUCAGGAGAUGAUGAAAGUAUGGGAUGAGUUGUAUGACUUGACUGAUGAGUACACAGAUAGAUGGCUCUCUUCAGCACGGGAGUUCUUGGAGGAAUGUUCUGGAAGGAAGGAAGACCCAGUGCCCUGUCUUGCAUCUGGUGGUGUUAUGGUCAACCAUACUGACAGCAAAUUUGAGCACAUAAAUGUGUUAGUGACUUCUGGAUCAUUGAUACCCAGUCUUGUCAAGUGUUUACUCUUUCGGCUUGACAAUUUGAUAACACAUGGAAAUGUGUACAGCUCAUGGGAAGUGGGGAAACUCCAAUGCUUUCAGUGGAUCAAAGAUCGUUUUAACAGUCCAAAUUUCCAUUUUUGUGUGAUUGGGGAUGGAUACGAAGAGUGUGAAGCUGCACAGGUCAUGCGAUGGCCAUUUGUUAAGAUUGAUCCCUGUCCUGGCAGUGGUCACAGAUUUCCAGGCCUGACUUUGAGAACUGUAGGCUACUAUUUUGAUGUGGUUUAUGGGAGCUCUGAUCCUGAAAAUGAAGAAGAUGAGUCCUCAUCUCAUCUGUAAUGCAUAAUAUAUAUGUUGCAGGAUAAUUUUCUGUAUUCUCAAAGUGACAACAGCAUGGAAAUCAUGUAUAUCAAUGAUAUGGAUAUUGAUUGUUCAGAAAAGAAAUGAGGAAUUUUUUGUUUUCUUUUUGCCAUAUUCCCUUUGCUUCCAUAUUUGUAGAGAUAACAUCAUAUACUGAUUGUUGAGGCCUAUCACUAAAUUUCAGUAUGAUCGUUUAGCUUAAAUUUGUAAUAUAAUAAUCUUUCAACUGGUUGAUGGCUUGUGUGUACAGAUGUAUGCUCUUGGGAGUAUUGAUAGGCAAAGAGACCGCAUUGAUU
This 1382-nucleotide unclassified non-coding RNA is filed under the name Hevea brasiliensis (rubber tree). Lineage: Eukaryota; Viridiplantae; Streptophyta; Magnoliopsida; Malpighiales; Euphorbiaceae. The record is from RNAcentral.